GCCAACGUAGCUCAGCUGGUAGAGCAGCUGAUUCGUAAUCAGCAGGUCCCCGGUUCGAGUCCGGGCGUUGGCUCCA
Molecule: transfer RNA, 76 nt
Filed under: Acidobacteriota bacterium
Lineage: Bacteria; Pseudomonadati; Acidobacteriota
Also listed under: 1 other name
Description: Acidobacteria bacterium (hydrothermal vent metagenome) tRNA-Thr
Rfam family: tRNA
About the family: Transfer RNA (tRNA) molecules are approximately 80 nucleotides in length. Their secondary structure includes four short double-helical elements and three loops (D, anti-codon, and T loops).
Source: RNAcentral